AAUAAAUUUGUUUCUAUAGAAAAUUAUUUAAUGAGGACAAUAUCGAUAUCUUUUCUGUAACAAAAUGUUUCAACUAAAAAUAAUAGUGACUUGUUCAAUGUAUAUUUAUAGGUAUAGUUUAAAAAUCAAUAAAUUUGAGAUAAAGUAUCAUGGAUAUAGGAGUGACAGAAAGAUUAUUAAAAAUUGCGAUACGCGAAAGCGAUGGCUAGUUUAUCGUGGAUCAACAGUUCGCUGCGAUAAUAACUCGAUCAUCCCACGUACGUAUGUAUAUCUUGAUACAACUAUACGUGUUCUCUUGAAAUACACGCUUAUCUAGUUUUCUCUUGCACCUUUUCGAUUCAAACGUCAUACACUUUUCUGCACUGCUAACAAAAGUUUCAAAUGUUGAUCAAAUUCCAAUUCGAAACAACACUGUAUUUAUAAUUAAAUUAAGGAUAAUAUCAAAACGAGGAAUAUUAUCGAAGAACGAUGAGGAAUGUGGCACAUAACAUACGAAAAAAAAGUUAUUUCUUCCGAUGAUAAUUAACGAUUGUAAAGAUUAAUAAAAAAGUGUUAUUUAAUAAAAUUUGAAACAAAAUUAUAAUUUCAUACGAAAUAAUGAACCAAUUCGAACUGAUGAAAAGAUUUCGUUUGAAUUAACGCAAAAAAAAAGAAGAGAAGAAAAAAAAAAGAUUUAUCGACGAUAGUUAAUGGCUCCACUCCAAAUAAGAACACGCACUAAAGGAUUCACACAGAACGCAUAUCCCGAGAUAUCCCGAGUGAUCAUCCCGAGGAGGAAUUCAGGAAGUAUAUGCGUAAGAGAACUGGCACUCGGUCGCGACGAUCUUGGUGGGGUGGAUGCAAAGACGGUGUAGCAACAUUGGAGUAGUCAGAACGGGGUGAAGGGGAGUCAAGAAAAGGGGGAAGUUCGAACGAAAGUUAAGUAUAUUUCAGGAGCUCGACCCUAUAUAUGUAUAUGUAUAUAUGUGUAUGUGUAUGUUUAUAUAUACAGGGACCUUUCUACCUAUCAACAGCAACGUGAAACACGAGGAAGUUCGGGACGACGAGAAACUCACUAAAAAUACGUACGAUCGUUGGCGCUUGACUACUGCGUUCAACAAAACACUUACUCCUUCAUUGUUUCAUACCGAAGACAAGACUAAUAGUGGGGAUACUAAUUGGAAUCAUUCUAAUCAAACUUAAAAAAAAAAGAAAAAAAAAUUGAAGGUAAAUAAAAAUCAACAAUUUUUCGA
Vespula vulgaris is the source of this 1232-nucleotide long non-coding RNA. RefSeq lists it as uncharacterized. Lineage: Eukaryota; Metazoa; Arthropoda; Insecta; Hymenoptera; Vespidae. The record is from RefSeq and is a predicted model, not a curated record. The transcript is spliced from 2 exons.